UACAGAGGGGGCAAGCGUUAUUCGGAAUUAUUGGGCGUAAAGGGCGCGUAGGCGGCCUGGCAAGUGGGAGGUGAAAUCCCUCGGCUUAACCGAGGAACUGCCCUCCAAACUGCUUGGCUUGAGUCCGGGAGAGGUGAGUGGAAUUCCCAGUGUAGCGGUGAAAUGCGUAGAUAUUGGGAGGAACACCAGUGGCGAAGGCGGCUCACUGGACCGGAACUGACGCUGAGGCGCGAAAGCGUGGGGAGCAAACAGG
Molecule: ribosomal RNA, 253 nt
Filed under: uncultured bacterium
Lineage: Bacteria
Description: partial 16S ribosomal RNA
Rfam family: Bacterial small subunit ribosomal RNA
Source: RNAcentral